Molecule: ribosomal RNA, 443 nt
Filed under: uncultured bacterium
Lineage: Bacteria
Description: partial 16S ribosomal RNA
Rfam family: Bacterial small subunit ribosomal RNA
Source: RNAcentral
CCUACGGGAGGCAGCAGUGGGGGAUAUUGGACAAUGGGGGGAACCCUGAUCCAGCGACGCCGCGUGAGUGAAGAAGUAUUUCGGUAUGUAACGCUCUGUUAGCAGGGAAGAAAGCAAUGACGGUACCUGACCAAGAAGACCCGGCUAACUACGUGCAAGCAGCCUCGGGAAUACGUCGGUGGCAAGCGUUAUCCGGAAUUACUGGGUGUAAAGGGAGCGUAGGCGGGUGGGCAAGUCUGGAGUGAAAGGCGGGGGCCCAACCCCCGGACUGCUCUGGAAACUGUAUGGCUGGAGUGCAGGAGAGGUAAGCGGAAUUCGUGGUGUAGCGGUGAAAUGCGUAGAUAUUAGGAAGAACACCAGUGGCGAAGGCGGCUUACUGGACUGUAACUGACGUUGAGGCUCGAAAGCGUGGGGAGCAAACAGGAUUAGAUACCCUGGUAGUC